RNAcentral lists this long non-coding RNA (226 nucleotides) under Elaeis guineensis (African oil palm). RNAcentral's name for it is "long non-coding RNA (EGUI_LNC082033)". The record is from RNAcentral. Lineage: Eukaryota; Viridiplantae; Streptophyta; Magnoliopsida; Arecales; Arecaceae.
AGUAAUGAGAAGUUAGGAUCCCCAAGCUCGAGCACCGGGAGGAAGCGUCACUCAAAUGGCCUCGAAACGACCUACGAUCAUUAACGAAAAGGGGCAAAUCAACACGGCGGUGAUCAAGAACCUUCAAACAACAUCGACAUCGAACAAGACAAAAGAUAAAAAAAGUUCGAUAAACAACGACUCAAUGCAAGAAUAGACGAGGAAUUACAAACAACGCCGAUGCCAA